GAUGAAGAACGCAGCGAAAUGCGAUAAGUAAUGUGAAUUGCAGAAUUCAGUGAAUCAUCGAAUCUUUGAACGCACAUUGCGCCCGCCAGUAUUCUGGCGGGCAUGCCUGUUCGAGCGUCAUUACAACCCUCAGGCCCCCGGGCCUGGCGUUGGGGAUCGGCGGAAGCCCCCUGCGGGCACAACGCCGUCCCCCAAAUACAGUGGCGGUCCCGCCGCAGCUUCCAUUGCGUAGUAGCUAACACCUCGCAACUGGAGAGCGGCGCGGCCACGCCGUAAAACACCCAACUCUUCUGAAGUUGACCUCGAAUCAGGUAGGAAUACCCGCUGAACUUAAGCAUAUCAAUAGCGGAGGA
This 353-nucleotide unclassified non-coding RNA is filed under the name soil metagenome. Its description in RNAcentral is "partial contains 5.8S ribosomal RNA, internal transcribed spacer 2, and large subunit ribosomal RNA". The stretch from base 1 to 120 matches the Rfam family "5.8S ribosomal RNA", at positions 35 to 154 of the family's 154-position model. The record is from RNAcentral.